This 271-nucleotide ribosomal RNA is filed under the name uncultured bacterium. RNAcentral's name for it is "partial 16S ribosomal RNA". It matches the Rfam family "Bacterial small subunit ribosomal RNA", at positions 85 to 354 of the family's 1533-position model. The record is from RNAcentral.
UAUUAUUUUAGCGGCGGACGGGUGAGUAACGUGUGGGUAACCUGCCUUUUACUGUGGAAUAAUCGUUGGAAACGACGACUAAUACCGCAUACGAUUUUCUGAAGGCAUCUUCGGAAAAAGAAAGGAAAUAUUCGGUAAAAGAUGGGCCCGCAUCUGAUUAGCUAGUUGGUGAGAUAAUAGCCCACCAAGGCAACGAUCAGUAGCCGACCUGAGAGGGUGACCGGCCACAUUGGGACUGAGACACGGCCCAAACUCCUACGGGAGGCAGCAG